GUCUUUUCGAUUAAAUGUGAAGUCUGGCCUGCCCACUGACUUGAAGGGCCGCGGUAUUAUGACCGUGCGAAGGUAGCAUAGUCAAUAGUCUUUUAAUUGAAGGCUGGAAUGAAUGGUUGGACGGGAAGAAAGCUGUCUCGCUUAUUAAUGGUGAAUUUGACUUUUAUGUGAAAAGGCAUAAAUGAUUUGGGGGGACGAUAAGACCCUAUAAAACUUUAUAAUUUUAAUUGGGGUCUUGAGUUUAAUAAGUGUUUAAGUAAAAUUAUUUUGCUGGGGUGGCAAGGAUAAAAUAACUGUUCCAUAAGUUUAAUAGUGAUAAUUAGAUAGUGACCCCCAUCUUUGGGUUUAGGAGUUUAAGUUACUUUAGGGAUAACGCGUGAUUUCUCUUGAGAGUUCAUAUCGACAGAGAUAGUUGCGACCUCGAUGUUGAAUUAAAACUUUCGUAGAGUAGGUAUUUACGGAGUGGGUCUGUUCGACUUUAAAGUUUU
This 488-nucleotide ribosomal RNA is filed under the name Leptalpheus lirai. Its description in RNAcentral is "partial large subunit ribosomal RNA". It matches the Rfam family "Bacterial large subunit ribosomal RNA", at positions 1830 to 2597 of the family's 2925-position model. Lineage: Eukaryota; Metazoa; Arthropoda; Malacostraca; Decapoda; Alpheidae. The record is from RNAcentral.